ACGCUCGACACCUACGGGAUGCAGCAGUGGGGAAUAUUGCACAAUGGGGGAAACCCUGAUGCAGCAACGCCGCGUGAGUGAAGAAGUAUUUCGGUAUGUAAAGCUCUAUCAGCAGGGAAGAUAAUGACGGUACCUGACUAAGAAGCUCCGGCUAAAUACGUGCCAGCAGCCGCGGUAAUCUGAGCGGGCUGGCAAGGC
This 198-nucleotide ribosomal RNA is filed under the name uncultured bacterium. Its description in RNAcentral is "partial 16S ribosomal RNA". It matches the Rfam family "Bacterial small subunit ribosomal RNA", at positions 326 to 539 of the family's 1533-position model. The record is from RNAcentral.